Long non-coding RNA from Apodemus sylvaticus (European woodmouse), 2137 nucleotides. RefSeq lists it as uncharacterized. The transcript is spliced from 5 exons. The record is from RefSeq and is a predicted model, not a curated record. NCBI's taxonomy places the organism in Eukaryota, Metazoa, Chordata, Mammalia, Rodentia, Muridae.
GUUAGAAAAGAAAAGAGUGCAAAAGCCACAAAAGCAGAACAGUCUGGGGGACCUGGUCACACGGCACACGUCCCAUCUCAGACUCCCCUGCAGCUGUCCCCAGCACUAACCAGCAGCCUGAGGUCCGGUCCAGACUUUGACCACCAAGGCCAACCCAAGCUGUAUCUUGUUUUGACAGAUGUAAUUGUUUAAGGGGAGAUAAGGACCUGCUUGCUUCCUUGUAUAAAGCCUGCCUAGUGCAUCAUUAAUAGACUAAGGUGACCGACCUGAAGGGGAGCUGUCUGUGCAGGGUUAGCUCCUCUGGGACUCAGACGAGAGCCCAUGUGAAGGAAUGGCUUGGAGAAGACUCAACUUUGGAAUAAACAACUAGGUUGUUUUUUUCCCCCAACAACAGGCUCCCUGGGACAGAGGCUGCUGGUAACACUCAGGCUAAAAUGAUAGGUAGAGGGCAGAUCCUACGCUUUGGAAGGCAAAUCUGAUGGGGGAUACCGAGGAUACGCUGGCAGCCCACUCUGCUUCUGCUGACCACGAAGGGACUUGAGAGAUGUGGCUGGUGAUUCCUGAGACCUUCUGAACACCCCAGGAGAGGCGGACCUUCUGACAGAGGUGUGAGGACAUCUUCCUCCAUCCAGCCACUCACAGACUGAGGAUGAGAGGUUCACAAGAGUGAUCUGCAACCCAGCCACAAACAACCCAGGAAUAACCUGCUGGGAAGUUCAGAGAGGAUCAGUUAUUCCAGCUGUGGAAAACGCCAGCUACACUGACCCCCAAGUGCUGUCACGGUGUCAACCAGCUCUUCUCAAUCUUCAUUUUCAGUAGCUAUUUUGUCACUUUUAACAUCUGUAUUAGUAAAUCUUCUCUAGAUGUGAGCAACUGAAAGAAACUUGAAUUAGCUUCAAUAUUAAAGGAUAGCUUUAAUAUUAAUAUUAAUGGGUAGCUACCCAUUCGGUAGCUACAUACAUUUGCUAUAGUACUGGCUGGUUUUGUGUCAACUUGACACAGGCUAGAGUUAUCACAGAAAGCGGAGCUUCAGUUAAGGAAAUGCCUCCAUGAGAUCCAGCAGUGGGGCAUUUUCUCAGUUAGUGAUCAAGGGGGAGGGCCCAUUUUGGGGGUGCCAUCCCUGGGCUGGUAGUCUUGGGUUCUAUAAGAGAGCAAGCUUAGCAAGCCAGGGGUAGCAAGCCAGUAGGAAACAUCUCUCCAUGGCCUCUGCAUCAGCUCCUGCUUCCUGACCUGCUUGAGUUCCAGUCCUGACUUCCUUUAGUGAUGAACAGCAAUGUGGAAAUGUAAGCUGAAUAAACCCUUUCCUCCCCCCACUUGCUUCGUGGUCUUGAUGCUUGUGCAGGAAUAGAAACCCUGACUAAGACAGUCACAUAAGAACACAAGAGUUUCAUGGAACCCACAGGUAAAAAGAUAUAACUGGGUCUCCAGACGGAAGUGCAAAGUGGUCAGGACUUCCUGCUUCAUGUUUUGACUUCCCUCUAUAGUGUUUUAUAACAAUUAAUAAAAGCAUGUGACAUCAACUGAGUGCUUAGUAUAUCCCACACUCAGAAAAAGGUAUUUUUCAAAUCACCUCCACUAUACUCGUGAGGAGUCUGAGACUCAGAGAGAUGGAAGUGCCCCGCUGUCCCCACUUAGAAGUAGCAGACAGGACUUUGUGGUUCAGUAGAUUGGUUCUGGAGCAGAACCCCCUAAGUUCUGCAUAUUGGGGGCAGAUCCAGAUUGGGGUGACAUCCCAGAGCCUUCCCUUUGCAGCCUCAGCUGCAAGGGUUUGAAUACUUUGUGGGGAGGAGGGGCAGGGAAAAGAUGAGGAUCGCAUCAGGACAGCUGAAACUGAGGCAAAUGUGGCCGGCCAAGAAAGCUCUGACAUUUACAUCUGUGGAAAAUUUCCUAUUGGCAAAGCUUAUGUCCUCUUUGCCGUUUGAAUCCACCCAAUCGGCCUGCACGGCUGACUGUCUUUGAGGCAUUUAGGAACAGAAUGCUGGGCUGCUGGAGUCCUGCGAUCUCACGCUUCUCUCAGUGCCUCUAACUUCCUACUUAUUUUUACAAUCUCCAUACACUGAUUGAGAUACUCUUGACAUGCGCAACUCUUUGGUUAUACACAGCAGAGCAGAGGCUCACGUCUUUACCCUUACCUUCU